This 299-nucleotide unclassified non-coding RNA is filed under the name Hevea brasiliensis (rubber tree). The record is from RNAcentral. Lineage: Eukaryota; Viridiplantae; Streptophyta; Magnoliopsida; Malpighiales; Euphorbiaceae.
CUAACCCCUAAAGACCCAAGUACAUUUGGGUACCUAAAGUAAAUUGAAUUAUCUUAUGUAGGUGUGCUUAAAAUCCUCUAAGCUUGAAAGUAAGUGGUAUUUAGAUAAUGGAUGUUUAAGACACAUGACUGAAAAUGCCAACCUUUUCCUUUCACUUGAAAAAAAGAUGGAGGUGGGCAAGUGACCUUUGGUGACAAUAGUAAAGGUAAAAUUGUGAGGAUAGGUAAGAUUGAUAAGAAAAACUCCCCUAUUCUUGACAAAGUACUUUUGGUUGAUAGUUUAAAGUAUAAUUUGCUUAG